GUUGAACGCUGGCGGCAUGCCUUACACAUGCAAGUCGAACGGUAACGCGGGGCAACCUGGCGACGAGUGGCGAACGGGUGAGUAAUGCAUCGGAACGUGCCCAGUAGUGGGGGAUAGCCCGGCGAAAGCCGGAUUAAUACCGCAUACGACCUACGGGUGAAAGCGGGGGACCGUAAGGCCUCGCGCUAUUGGAGCGGCCGAUGUCAGAUUAGGUAGUUGGUGGGGUAAAGGCCUACCAAGCCUUCGAUCUGUAGCUGGUCUGAGAGGACGACCAGCCACACUGGGACUGAGACACGGCCCAGACUCCUACGGGAGGCAGCAGUGGGGAAUUUUGGACAAUGGGCGCAAGCCUGAUCCAGCCAUGCCGCGUGCGGGAAGAAGGCCUCGG
RNAcentral lists this ribosomal RNA (388 nucleotides) under uncultured bacterium. RNAcentral describes it as "bacterial SSU rRNA". It matches the Rfam family "Bacterial small subunit ribosomal RNA", at positions 28 to 420 of the family's 1533-position model. The record is from RNAcentral.